UGAAUGUGUGUGUAUAUAUAAGAAUGACGGAGAAAUAAUAACAGGUAUAAGGAAUGUAUUUACAUGAAAAAUUUCAUAUGUACUUUA
This is a long non-coding RNA of Octopus sinensis (East Asian common octopus), 87 nucleotides long. RefSeq lists it as uncharacterized. The record is from RefSeq and is a predicted model, not a curated record. NCBI's taxonomy places the organism in Eukaryota, Metazoa, Mollusca, Cephalopoda, Octopoda, Octopodidae. The transcript is spliced from 3 exons.